GGUUAAGCGACUAAGCGUACACGGUGGAUGCCCUGGCAGUCAGAGGCGAUGAAGGACGUGCUAAUCUGCGAUAAGCGUCGGUGAGGUGAUAUGAACCGUUAUAACCGGCGAUUUCCGAAUGGGGAAACCCAGUGUGUUUCGACACACUAUCAUUAACUGAAUCUAUAGGUUAAUGAGGCGAACCGGGGGAACUGAAACAUCUAAGUACCCCGAGGAAAAGAAAUCAACCGAGAUUCCCCCAGUAGCGGCGAGCGAACGGGGAGCAGCCCAGAGCCUGAAUCAGUGUGUGUGUUAGUGGAAGCGUCUGGAAAGGCGCGCGAUACAGGGUGACAGCCCCGUACACAAAAAUGCACAUGCUGUGAGCUCGAUGAGUAGGGCGGGACACGUGGUAUCCUGUCUGAAUAUGGGGGGACCAUCCUCCAAGGCUAAAUACUCCUGACUGACCGAUAGUGAACCAGUACCGUGAGGGAAAGGCGAAAAGAACCCCGGCGAGGGGAGUGAAAAAGAACCUGAAACCGUGUACGUACAAGCAGUGGGAGCCUCUUUAUGGGGUGACUGCGUACCUUUUGUAUAAUGGGUCAGCGACUUAUAUUCUGUAGCAAGGUUAACCGAAUAGGGGAGCCGAAGGGAAACCGAGUCUUAACUGGGCGUUAAGUUGCAGGGUAUAGACCCGAAACCCGGUGAUCUAGCCAUGGGCAGGUUGAAGGUUGGGUAACACUAACUGGAGGACCGAACCGACUAAUGUUGAAAAAUUAGCGGAUGACUUGUGGCUGGGGGUGAAAGGCCAAUCAAACCGGGAGAUAGCUGGUUCUCCCCGAAAGCUAUUUAGGUAGCGCCUCGUGAAUUCAUCUCCGGGGGUAGAGCACUGUUUCGGCAAGGGGGUCAUCCCGACUUACCAACCCGAUGCAAACUGCGAAUACCGGAGAAUGUUAUCACGGGAGACACACGGCGGGUGCUAACGUCCGUCGUGAAGAGGGAAACAACCCAGACCGCCAGCUAAGGUCCCAAAGUCAUGGUUAAGUGGGAAACGAUGUGGGAAGGCCCAGACAGCCAGGAUGUUGGCUUAGAAGCAGCCAUCAUUUAAAGAAAGCGUAAUAGCUCACUGGUCGAGUCGGCCUGCGCGGAAGAUGUAACGGGGCUAAACCAUGCACCGAAGCUGCGGCAGCGACGCUUAUGCGUUGUUGGGUAGGGGAGCGUUCUGUAAGCCUGCGAAGGUGUGCUGUGAGGUAUGCUGGAGGUAUCAGAAGUGCGAAUGCUGACAUAAGUAACGAUAAAGCGGGUGAAAAGCCCGCUCGCCGGAAGACCAAGGGUUCCUGUCCAACGUUAAUCGGGGCAGGGUGAGUCGACCCCUAAGGCGAGGCCGAAAGGCGUAGUCGAUGGGAAACAGGUUAAUAUUCCUGUACUUGGUGUUACUGCGAAGGGGGGACGGAGAAGGCUAUGUUGGCCGGGCGACGGUUGUCCCGGUUUAAGCGUGUAGGCUGAUUUUCCAGGCAAAUCCGGAAAAUCAAGGCUGAGGCGUGAUGACGAGGCACUACGGUGCUGAAGCAACAAAUGCCCUGCUUCCAGGAAAAGCCUCUAAGCAUCAGGUAACAUCAAAUCGUACCCCAAACCGACACAGGUGGUCAGGUAGAGAAUACCAAGGCGCUUGAGAGAACUCGGGUGAAGGAACUAGGCAAAAUGGUGCCGUAACUUCGGGAGAAGGCACGCUGAUAUGUAGGUGAAGCGACUUGCUCGUGGAGCUGAAAUCAGUCGAAGAUACCAGCUGGCUGCAACUGUUUAUUAAAAACACAGCACUGUGCAAACACGAAAGUGGACGUAUACGGUGUGACGCCUGCCCGGUGCCGGAAGGUUAAUUGAUGGGGUUAGCGGUAACGCGAAGCUCUUGAUCGAAGCCCCGGUAAACGGCGGCCGUAACUAUAACGGUCCUAAGGUAGCGAAAUUCCUUGUCGGGUAAGUUCCGACCUGCACGAAUGGCGUAAUGAUGGCCAGGCUGUCUCCACCCGAGACUCAGUGAAAUUGAACUCGCUGUGAAGAUGCAGUGUACCCGCGGCAAGACGGAAAGACCCCGUGAACCUUUACUAUAGCUUGACACUGAACAUUGAGCCUUGAUGUGUAGGAUAGGUGGGAGGCUUUGAAGUGUGGACGCCAGUCUGCAUGGAGCCGGCCUUGAAAUACCACCCUUUAAUGUUUGAUGUUCUAACGUUGGCCCCUGAUCGGGGUUGCGGACAGUGUCUGGUGGGUAGUUUGACUGGGGCGGUCUCCUCCUAAAGAGUAACGGAGGAGCACGAAGGUUGGCUAAUCCUGGUCGGACAUCAGGAGGUUAGUGCAAUGGCAUAAGCCAGCUUGACUGCGAGCGUGACGGCGCGAGCAGGUGCGAAAGCAGGUCAUAGUGAUCCGGUGGUUCUGAAUGGAAGGGCCAUCGCUCAACGGAUAAAAGGUACUCCGGGGAUAACAGGCUGAUACCGCCCAAGAGUUCAUAUCGACGGCGGUGUUUGGCACCUCGAUGUCGGCUCAUCACAUCCUGGGGCUGAAGUAGGUCCCAAGGGUAUGGCUGUUCGCCAUUUAAAGUGGUACGCGAGCUGGGUUUAGAACGUCGUGAGACAGUUCGGUCCCUAUCUGCCGUGGGCGCUGGAGAACUGAGGGGGGCUGCUCCUAGUACGAGAGGACCGGAGUGGACGCAUCACUGGUGUUCGGGUUGUCAUGCCAAUGGCACUGCCCGGUAGCUAAAUGCGGAAGAGAUAAGUGCUGAAAGCAUCUAAGCACGAAACUUGCCCCGAGAUGAGUUCUCCCUGAGACUUAGAGUCUCCUGAAGGAACGUUGAAGACGACGACGUUGAUAGGCCGGGUGUGUAAGCGCAGCGAUGCGUUGAGCUAACCGGUACUAAUGAACCGUGAGG
Molecule: ribosomal RNA, 2896 nt
Filed under: Escherichia coli
Lineage: Bacteria; Pseudomonadati; Pseudomonadota; Gammaproteobacteria; Enterobacterales; Enterobacteriaceae
Description: partial 23S ribosomal RNA
Rfam family: Bacterial large subunit ribosomal RNA
Source: RNAcentral